GAUGUAUGGCUUUGGUGGGGAUGGUCUGUGGGUGGGUGGGUGAUGGGAGCUGGAGGGGAGUGUCUUUGGAUGUUUCCUUUUGACUCUUUUUUGUCCCUCUACCUGCGUGUACCGUUUUUUCUCCUGCCAGCCAAUGUGUCAUCUCUUUGUUUGUGUUUUUCUUUUCUUUUCUUUCCUUCCUUCGGGAGGGAGGGAGAGAGAGAGGAAACGUCCAGGGAGAUCUAUUACUUUGAAAAAAUUAGAGUGUUUAAAGCAGGCGUUUGCUCUGAAUACAUUAGCAUGGAAUAAUAAUCUAGGACUUCGGUUCUAUUUUGUUGGUUUCUAUAACUGAAGUAAUGAUUGAUAGGGAUAGUUGGGGGUGCUAGUAUUGGCCGGUCAGAGGUGAAAUUCUUGGAUUCGGUCAAGACUAACUUAUGCGAAAGCAUU
This 426-nucleotide ribosomal RNA is filed under the name uncultured Cercozoa. RNAcentral describes it as "bacterial SSU rRNA". The stretch from base 219 to 426 matches the Rfam family "Eukaryotic small subunit ribosomal RNA", at positions 746 to 955 of the family's 1831-position model. Lineage: Eukaryota; Cercozoa. The record is from RNAcentral.